AGCAGCCGCGGUAAUUCCAGCUCCAAUAGCGUAUAUUAAAGUUGUUGCAGUUAAAAAGCUCGUAGUUGAAUUUCGGGACCAAUCUGCCGGUCGUGCCUCCGGUACGCACUGGUUUUAUUGGUUUCUCCCUUCUGACGAACCAUGAUGUCAUUAAUUUGGUGUCAUGGGGAAUCAGGACUGUUACUUUGAAAAAAAUUAGAGUGUUUAUAGCAGGCUUACGCUUGAAUACAUUAGCAUGGAAUAAUGAAAUAGGACGUUUGACCCUAUUUUGUUGGUUUCUAGGAUCGACGUAAUGAUUAAUAGGGAUAGUUGGGGGCAUUAGUAUUCAAUUGUCAGAGGUGAAAUUCUUGGAUUUAUUGAAGACUAACUACUGCGAAAGCAUUUGCCAAGGAUGUUUUCAUUAAUCAAGAACGAAAGUUAGGGGAUCGAAGACGAUCAGAUACCGUCGUA
Molecule: ribosomal RNA, 450 nt
Filed under: uncultured Glomeromycotina
Lineage: Eukaryota; Fungi; Glomeromycota
Description: SSU rRNA
Rfam family: Eukaryotic small subunit ribosomal RNA
Source: RNAcentral